Molecule: long non-coding RNA, 1743 nt
Organism: Cyprinus carpio (common carp)
Lineage: Eukaryota; Metazoa; Chordata; Actinopteri; Cypriniformes; Cyprinidae
Exons: 4
Source: RefSeq, a predicted model, not a curated record
UGUGUGAUUUCCAUCAUUGGUUUUGUCUAAAAUGUCAUACAAGGUGGUAUUAAAAAAAGAUCUUAAAAGUCUUACAUUUAACUUGUUCAUAUCUGUAGAAACCCUGGUAAUGCUUUGGUAAGUGACCACAUCCCAUUACAGCAAUUUAACUCAACAUACAACCCCGAUUCCAGAGAACUAACAACGUUUAGUAAAAUGCAAUAAAAUCAAGAAUCUGUGAUUUGUUAAUUUCUCUUUCACAUUUAUUUAAUCGACAAAAAGUACAAAAAGAUUUCUGCUAAGAAAAAAAAAGAUCUGUUAAGAGCCACAUGAAAUUUCAUUAUGUCACGAUACGGAAAAGCCAUAGAAUUCAAAUCUAUCUGUUAUAUACAAGUGUUCUUUCUCUCUUUCCUGUAUUACAGUCUUUCUGGUUGUAAUCUCAAUGAUGAAUCCUGUAAAAAUCAUCGCUUCAUGUCUUCAAUCCUCAAAGUCUCCUCUGAGAGAGCUUGAUGUGAUAACAAUGAUCUCCAGGAUUCAGGAGUGAAGCUGAUCUCUGAUGCACUCAAGAACCCAAACUGUCAACUAGAGAUACUGAGGUUAUCAGCUGUAUGGUGACAGCAUGAGGGAUGUUGUUAUUUGGCUUCAGCUCUGAGUUCAAACCGGUCACACCUGAGAGAGCUGGACCUGAGCUACAAUCCCCAGAACACUCAGCAUUUCAGCUGCGCUCUUAUCAAAAAUGAUCCAGACUAUGCACUGAAGAUACUCAAUAUUGACCAUGGAGGACAUUACAGGAUCACACCAGGACUACGAAAAUGGUUCUGUGAUCUCACACUGGAUCCAAACACAGCAAACUGUCUUCUCAUUCUAUCUGAGAAGAACAGGAAGAUCACAUGUGUGGAAGAACAGCAGUCCUACCUGGAUCAUCCAGACAGAUUUGAUGACUGUGAACAGGUUUUUGUGUAGAGAGAGUCUGACUGGACACUGUUACUGGGAGGUCGACUGGAGCGGAUAUGCUUACAUAUCUGUGUCAUAUAAAGGAAUCAACAGGAAAGGAGGAAGAGAUGACUGUAGAUUUGGAUGGAAUGAAAAGUCCUGGAGUCUCUUCUGUACUGUUGAUAGGUUCAGUGCCUGGCACAAUAACAGAAAUAUGAACAUGCCUGUUCCUUCACCCCCCUCUUCAAAAAUAGGAGUAUAUCUGGACUGGAAGGCUGGCAAUCUGUCCUUCUACAGUGUCUCUGACACACACACACUCACACACUUACACACAUUCAACACAACAUUCAAAGAGCCUCUCUAUGCCGGAUUUAAUGUGUAUUCUGCAUCAUCCACGUUGUUUCUGUGUGGGGUUGGCCAGUGUUAGAUUAUAUUACUCUAGAAGAAAAUCCCUUUGUUUGCCAAAUGUAUUCCUUACAUCAAGGAUAGGCAACUUCGGUCCUGGAGGGCCACUGUCCUGCAGAGUUUUAGCUCCAACCCUAAUUAAACACACCUGAACAAGGCAAUCAGUGUUUUCGGGAUUACUAGAUAGAUACAGGCAGGUGAGUUUUUAUGAGGGCUGAAGCUAAACUCUGCAGGAUAGUGGCCCUCCAGGCCUAUCCCUGCCUUACAUGUACUUGUUUCCCCCUUACAUUUAUAUUAGAUUAGAUUAGAUUAUGAAAGGAGUCAAAUUAUUUCCUUAUGAAAUUAACCCAUCAAGCCAAAACUCGUGAACUUACAGAAAACAGAUACCAUGCUGCCAUGCAAUAAAACAAAAAAAAAAUGAUCUGG